RNAcentral lists this ribosomal RNA (450 nucleotides) under uncultured bacterium. Its description in RNAcentral is "bacterial SSU rRNA". It matches the Rfam family "Bacterial small subunit ribosomal RNA", at positions 354 to 796 of the family's 1533-position model. The record is from RNAcentral.
GUGGGGAAUUUUGGACAAUGGGGGAAACCCUGAUCCAGCCAUGCCGCGUGGGUGAAGAAGGCCUUCGGGUUGUAAAGCCCUUUCGGCCGGGACGAAAUCGCACGGGUGAAUAUCCCGUGUGGAUGACGGUACCGGAAGAAGAAGCACCGGCUAACUACGUGCCAGCAGCCGCGGUAAUACGUAGGGUGCGAGCGUUAAUCGGAAUUACUGGGCGUAAAGCGUGCGCAGGCGGCCUCUUAAGCCAGAUGUGAAAUCCCCGGGCUUAACCUGGGAACUGCGUUUGGAACUGGGAGGCUAGAGUGUGGCAGAGGGGGGUGGAAUUCCCGGUGUAGCAGUGAAAUGCGUAGAUAUCGGGAGGAACACCAAUGGCGAAGGCAGCCCCCUGGGUUAACACUGACGCUCAUGCACGAAAGCGUGGGGAGCAAACAGGAUUAGAAACCCGAGUAGUCC